RNAcentral lists this transfer-messenger RNA (370 nucleotides) under Eubacteriales. Its description in RNAcentral is "UBA11512 sp003522145 Standard tmRNA". It matches the Rfam family "transfer-messenger RNA". Rfam says of the family: Bacterial tmRNA, also known as 10Sa RNA or SsrA, is named for its dual tRNA and mRNA-like properties. The record is from RNAcentral. RNAcentral also lists the same sequence under 3 other names. Lineage: Bacteria; Bacillati; Bacillota; Clostridia.
GGGUCCGUAAAGGUUUCGACGGGGAUUUUGAGGCAUGAUAAGCGUGGCGGGCUGGGCAAUCCCGUAAAAGGUCCAACUUAAAAUUAAACGCUAACGAUAAUAGAGUAGCACUGGCUGCCUAAGGGCAGUGCCGUGGCCUAUAGCGCCACCCGUUCCCCGGUUGAGUAUCGCGGCUUCCGGCGAGCGUCAAAUGAGCGGUGAACGUGCACCGGCUGUUCGUCCUUGAACCGGUCACGCAGAAAAGGGCUGCCCCAAAUCCGAGCCUGUCUGUCGGCGCAGAGGCGGGGGAGAAUCAAAUGAUAGAAUGCCCACGGAGAAAGUCAUGUCAAGAGGUUUUCGGACAGGGGUUCGACUCCCCUCGGAUCCACCA